GUAGGUGAACCUGCGGAAGGAUCAUUAACACGUAUCCAACGUUAAAAACCCCGUGAACCUUUAUAUCGCCGCUCCUCAUUGCUAAGUCUCGGAAAAAGCCAAAACAGCAAUCCCUGCACUCCGUCGUAGACAACGGAAGGAGGGGGGACCUCUGACUUUGGCCGAGCUCGGUGGGUUUCAGAGCGCUUGGUAAGGUGGCUUGUUUUUCCCCAAGCAGUCAUUGAAUGACAGUGUCAUUGAUUGUCUAAGGAUUUCGCUAAGCGAUCACUAGAGGUCGAUCACCUACCGGUGGAACAAGUCACAGGGCUCCCCAACCCCACUUUCUAUUGCCGCUCCGCGCUAACACGUUCAAAAACGUACUAAACAACUGUUAUCUUGGUUCUC
RNAcentral lists this unclassified non-coding RNA (384 nucleotides) under rhizosphere metagenome. Its description in RNAcentral is "partial ribosomal RNA internal transcribed spacer region". The record is from RNAcentral.